Molecule: long non-coding RNA, 1124 nt
Organism: Thunnus maccoyii (southern bluefin tuna)
Lineage: Eukaryota; Metazoa; Chordata; Actinopteri; Scombriformes; Scombridae
Exons: 3
Source: RefSeq, a predicted model, not a curated record
CACUAAAAGGCUGUUUUCACAUCCAGCAACUGAAGAGGGAAGGUUUCUCUGUGCUAGCCUUAUAUCACUUACAGCACCUUUAAAGGUGUUGUAAGUGAUGAAAACCGAUUCCAGCACUCCCAGGAAGGGCUUACACAACCAAAUACACCAAGUGAAUUAAGAUUGCUGAAGAAAAGAAAGAAGAAAAGAAAACUGCCAGGGAAAAAAGAGAGAGGAGUCAUGUAAGACCCGCAUUUAUAUCAGUGUGGCCUUCAAUUGGUGAGAAAACCUAAAAGGUUUUUAAUCUGAGCGAAGCUUAUUGUUAGCUCGGUAGCUAAUAUUAGCUGUAGUUAUAUGUGCUUAAUUAUAGCAGAAAAUGAACUCGGUAAUGCUAGCUAACUUUACAGCCAAGUGGAUGACUGAGAAAUGAAACAUUAGAUAAUAAUGUUCAUCUGUCUUUCCCUCAUUAUGAGAGAGACUGCUUCACAUCAACACCCUUCAAGCUCAGAGGAAAGCAACCCCCGCACCAACCAUUACUGUCAAGCAUUUCCAGGAGUUCCUCUGAGAGGGAUGAUGCUAAUUUCGCUGGUGUACAGUGGCUGGUGGAAGAAAGCCCUCCUGAGGAAACAGCUCUUCGUUGAUUGGAAAGGAAGUUUGUGCCCAGUUAUUCUUGCUACCAGGUGAUGCUCGAAUGGACAGUCCUGGUUUCUGUGCACAUUGUACAUACACCAGCGUGGAUCACGACACCAAAGAAAUGAUCAGCGUGGUCAACAUGGACAAGAGAGAAACUGGGAGAAAUUCCUUCAUUAUGGAGAGGGAGGCGCUCAUCCACAUUUUUGACAAGCACUUUUGAACUGAAGCUCUCAGAGUUCUGCACAGGCCCAAAUUGCAGCUCUUUUUGGUAGGACAUAUUGCACUUACAGUAUAUGUUUCAUUUGCUGCUGUUGCUCUUGCUAAUAAAGAGCAUUAGUUCCCAAACAUUCAUCAGACAUAAAUGUAACUGUUUUGGAUUAUGACCAGGAAAUGUUUAUUGAUACCAACAUUGUUUAUGUUUGUUUUGUUGACAAUUUCAGCCAAGGGGAAAUAAAAAGACAGUAGAGUUCAUCACUCACUCGACAUGUGGCAUGGAUCCAAAAACUUUGGCA